Molecule: ribosomal RNA, 902 nt
Filed under: Gibellulopsis nigrescens
Lineage: Eukaryota; Fungi; Ascomycota; Sordariomycetes; Glomerellales; Plectosphaerellaceae
Description: LSU rRNA
Rfam family: Eukaryotic large subunit ribosomal RNA
Source: RNAcentral
GCAUAUCAAUAAGCGGAGGAAAAGAAACCAACAGGGAUUGCCUCAGUAACGGCGAGUGAAGCGGCAACAGCUCAAAUUUGAAAUCUGGCUCCUUCGGGGCCCGAGUUGUAAUUUGCAGAGGAUGCUUCGGGUACGGGUUCCUUCCGAGUUCCCUGGAACGGGACGCCAUAGAGGGUGAGAGCCCCGUCUGGUAGGACACCCAGCCCGUGUGAAGCUCCCUCGACGAGUCGAGUAGUUUGGGAAUGCUGCUCUAACGGGAGGUAUACUCCUUCCAAGGCUAAAUACCGGCUGGAGACCGAUAGCGCACAAGUAGAGUGAUCGAAAGAUGAAAAGCACUUUGAAAAGAGAGUCAAAUAGCACGUGAAAUUGUUGAAAGGGAAGCGCUCGCUACCAGACAUGGGUUCGGCGGUUCAACCGGGGCCACGCCCCGGGGCACUCCGCCGGCCCAGGCCAGCAUCAGCUUUCCGUCGGGGGCAAAGGCGUCGGGAAUGUGGCUCUCCUUCGGGGGAGUGUUAUAGCCCGGCGUGUCAUACCCUUCGGGGGGCUGAGGUACGCGCUUCUGCAAGGAUGCUGGCGUAAUGGUAGCUAGUGACCCGUCUUGAAACACGGACCAAGGAGUCAACCUUAUGUGCGAGUGCCCGGGCGUAAAACCCCAGCGCGGAAUGAAAGUGAACGUAGGUGAGAGCUUCGGCGCAUCACCGACCGAUCCUGAUGUCCUCGGACGGAUUUGAGUGAGAGCAUAUAGGGUUGGACCCGAAAGAAGAUGAACUAUGCGUGUGUAGGGUGAAGCCAGAGGAAACUCUGGUGGAGGCUCGCAGCGGUUCUGACGUGCAAAUCGAUCGUCAAACAUGCGCAUGGGGGCGAAAGACUAAUCGAAUCUUCUGGUAGCUGGUUUCCGCCGA